AGGACGAACGCUGGCGGCGUGCUUAACACAUGCAAGUCGAGCGGAAAGGCCCUUCGGGGUACUCGAGCGGCGAACGGGUGAGUAACACGUGAGUAAUCUGCCCCUAGCUCUGGGAUAGCUCCGGGAAACCGGGAUUAAUACCAGAUACGACCACUUUAGACAUCUGCUGUGGUGGAAAGAAUUUCGGCUAGGGAUGAGCUCGCGGCCUAUCAGCUUGUUGGUGAGGUAACGGCUCACCAAGGCGACGACGGGUAGCCGGCCUGAGAGGGCGACCGGCCACACUGGGACUGAGACACGGCCCAGACUCCUACGGGAGGCAGCAGUGGGGAAUAUUGCGCAAUGGGCGAAAGCCUGACGCAGCGACGCCGCGUGGGGGAUGAAGGCCUUCGGGUUGUAACCCCUUUCAGCAGGGACGAAGCGAAAGUGACGGUACCUGCAGAAGAAGCGCCGGCUAACUACGUGCCAGCAGCCGC
This 473-nucleotide ribosomal RNA is filed under the name uncultured bacterium. RNAcentral's name for it is "SSU rRNA". It matches the Rfam family "Bacterial small subunit ribosomal RNA", at positions 26 to 518 of the family's 1533-position model. The record is from RNAcentral.